AAGAAGGUGAGAUCCGAGCGGAAGGAGCUGAGCGAGAGAAGAUCCGGAGGAGAGAGGGUCGAGAUCUGGGCUCAGAUCUGGAAAUCCGCCGUGCCGAGUCGCCCCGAGCCAGGCCGCCGCCGUCGCUGUGGCCGAGCACCAGUCCUGACGCCAUCAAACCAUACUAUCGCCCCCACGCCUCGCCGCUGCUGUUUUUCCCGACGCCGUCCAAGUUUAAGGGCCGCCGUCAUCAAGCCGUGCCGCCGUGCCGUGCCAACGCCGAGAGCAGGUGACAAUAGAUCAUGCCCAUGCCAUACCGAUUUCUGCUCGAAGCUCUGACCGUCAUCGCCAUCGUCGCCGCCGUCGCCACCGCGCACCUCAGCCUUCCCCUCUCCGGCGCCGCGAAUCGAGAACCCUAGGGUUCUCGAUUUUCCGGGUCGCGGCCUCGGGUCAGUGGGUCGAACCCGGGGCUAUGAGUCGGGUAGGGUUUCUCCGUAUUUUGGGGGGCGGCGGAAAUCGGGUUGGGGUUCGGGUCGGAUCCGGGUAGGGUUUCACCGGGGGAGCGGGUUGCGGAGCCGG
This 558-nucleotide long non-coding RNA is filed under the name Eucalyptus grandis. RNAcentral's name for it is "long non-coding RNA (EGRA_LNC005896)". Lineage: Eukaryota; Viridiplantae; Streptophyta; Magnoliopsida; Myrtales; Myrtaceae. The record is from RNAcentral.